UUGGAGGGCAAGUCUGGUGCCAGCAGCCGCGGUAAUUCCAGCUCCAAUAGCGUAUAUUAAAGUUGUUGCAGUUAAAAAGCUCGUAGUUGAAUUUCGGGAUUGACGUGAUGGUCAUGCCUUAAGGGGUAUGAACUGUUACUGUUGAUUUCUCACCUUCUGGAGAAACUUGAUGUCCUUUAUUGGGUGUCUUGCGGAUCCAGGACCUUUACCUUGAAAAAAUUAGAGUGUUUAAAGCAGGCAUUUUUGCUCGAAUACAUUAGCAUGGAAUAAUAGAAUAGGACGGCAUGGUUCUAUUUUGUUGGUUUCUAGGAUCACCGUAAUGAUUAAUAGGGAUAGUUGGGGGCAUUAGUAUUCAAUUGUCAGAGGUGAAAUUCUUGGAUUGAUUGAAGACUAACUACUGCGAAAGCAUUUGCCAAGGAUGUUUUCAUUAAUCAGUGAACGAAAGUUAGGGGAUCGAAGACGAUCAGAUACCGUCGUAGUCUUAACCAUAAACUAUGCCGACUAGGAAUCAGACGAUGUUAAUUUUUUAAUGACUCGUUUGGCACCCUAUGGGAAACCAAAG
This 562-nucleotide ribosomal RNA is filed under the name uncultured Glomus. RNAcentral's name for it is "SSU rRNA". It matches the Rfam family "Eukaryotic small subunit ribosomal RNA", at positions 548 to 1103 of the family's 1831-position model. Lineage: Eukaryota; Fungi; Glomeromycota; Glomeromycetes; Glomerales; Glomeraceae. The record is from RNAcentral.